UUGACCUCGGAUCAGGUAGGAAUACCCGCUGAACUUAAGCAUAUCAAUAAGCGGAGGAAAAGAAACCAACAGGGAUUGCCCCAGUAACGGCGAGUGAAGCGGCAACAGCUCAAAUUUGAAAUCUGGCUUCGGCCCGAGUUGUAAUUUGUAGAGGAUGAUUUUGGUGAGGUGCCUUCUGAGUUCCCUGGAACGGGACGCCAGAGAGGGUGAGAGCCCCGUAUAGUCGGCCACCGAUCCUCUGUAAAUCUCCUUCGACGAGUCGAGUAGUUUGGGAAUGCUGCUCAAAAUGGGAGGUAUAUCUCUUCUAAAGCUAAAUAUAGGCCAGAGACCGAUAGCGCACAAGUAGAGUGAUCGAAAGAUGAAAAGCACUUUGAAAAGAGGGUUAAAUAGCACGUGAAAUUGUUGAAAGGGAAGCGCUUGUGACCAGACUUGUGCCGGGCUGAUCAUCCAGUGUUCUCACUGGUGCACUCGACCCGGCCCAGGCCAGCGUCGGUUCUCGUGGGGGGACAAAAGCUUCGGGAACGUAGCACCUUCGGGUGUGUUAUAGCCCGCUGCUCAAUAUCCUCGUGGGGACCGAGGUUCGCGCUCUGCAAGGACGCUGGCAUAAUGGUCAUCAGCGACCCGUCUUGAAACACGGACCAAGGAGUCGAGGUUUUGCGCGAGUGUUUGGGUGUAAAACCCGCACGCGUAAUGAAAGUGAACGUAGGUGAGAGCUUCGGCGCAUCAUCGACCGAUCCUGAUGUAUUCGGAUGGAUUUGAGUAAGAGCGUAUAGCCUCGGACCCGAAAGAUGGUGAACUAUGCCUGAAUAGGGUGAAGCCAGAGGAAACUCUGGUGGAGGCUCGCAGCGGUUCUGACGUGCAAAUCGAUCGUCAAAUUUGGGCAUGGGGGCGAAAGACUAAUC
This 902-nucleotide ribosomal RNA is filed under the name Coniochaetales sp. P45A009. Its description in RNAcentral is "LSU rRNA". It matches the Rfam family "Eukaryotic large subunit ribosomal RNA", at positions 1 to 936 of the family's 3401-position model. Lineage: Eukaryota; Fungi; Ascomycota; Sordariomycetes; Coniochaetales. The record is from RNAcentral.